This 76-nucleotide transfer RNA is filed under the name Clostridiales bacterium. Its description in RNAcentral is "tRNA-Phe". It matches the Rfam family "tRNA". Rfam says of the family: Transfer RNA (tRNA) molecules are approximately 80 nucleotides in length. The record is from RNAcentral. Lineage: Bacteria; Bacillati; Bacillota; Clostridia; Eubacteriales.
GCCUUUGUAGCUCAGUUGGUAGAGCAGUGGACUGAAAAUACACGUGUCGCUGGUUCGAUUCCGGCCGAAGGCACCA